UACAGAGGGUGCGAGCGUUAAUCGGAAUUACUGGGCGUAAAGCGCACGUAGGUGGCGACGUAAGUCGGGUGUGAAAUCCCUGGGCUCAACCCAGGAACUGCGUCCGAUACUGGUUGGCUUGAAUCCGGGAGAGGGAUGUGGAAUUCCAGGUGUAGCGGUGAAAUGCGUAGAUAUCUGGAGGAACACCGGUGGCGAAGGCGGCAUCCUGGACCGGCAUUGACGCUGAGGCGCGAAAGCCAGGGGAGCAAACGGG
This 253-nucleotide ribosomal RNA is filed under the name uncultured bacterium. RNAcentral describes it as "partial 16S ribosomal RNA". It matches the Rfam family "Bacterial small subunit ribosomal RNA", at positions 524 to 776 of the family's 1533-position model. The record is from RNAcentral.